This 270-nucleotide ribosomal RNA is filed under the name Triticum aestivum (bread wheat). Its description in RNAcentral is "partial small subunit ribosomal RNA". The record is from RNAcentral. Lineage: Eukaryota; Viridiplantae; Streptophyta; Magnoliopsida; Poales; Poaceae.
AUGUAUGCCGGCUCCAACCCCAAAUCAGAGAUCAGGAACUCUGACUUUCUCUGCAUCCGACCACCUGAACGUUUUCUUCAAGUGCUCCAAUUUGGCGGCGAUUUUCUCUUCGCUGACAAAUGUAACAGCAUUCAGCGCAUGCCCGAACAUCCCAGAUCUACGGGGUACACCCAGACCUUCGACGCACACUACCAUCGCCCGGACACGCUCUGCGUUGCAGGUGAGGAGCCAUGGCUGAGCAUGGCACAGCUUGGCAAUAUCACAAGGACC